This is a non-coding RNA of Schistosoma curassoni, 46 nucleotides long. Lineage: Eukaryota; Metazoa; Platyhelminthes; Trematoda; Strigeidida; Schistosomatidae. The record is from Rfam.
GCACUGCUGAGGAGUCCCACAACAGGACGAAACGGCCGUCCAGUGC